This 468-nucleotide ribosomal RNA is filed under the name uncultured bacterium. RNAcentral describes it as "partial 16S ribosomal RNA". It matches the Rfam family "Bacterial small subunit ribosomal RNA", at positions 28 to 523 of the family's 1533-position model. The record is from RNAcentral.
GAUGAACGCUGGCGGCGUGCCUAACACAUGCAAGUCGAGCGAUUCUCUUCGGAGAAGAGCGGCGGACGGGUGAGUAACGCGUGGGUAACCUGCCCUGUACACACGGAUAACAUACCGAAAGGUAUGCUAAUACGAGAUAAUAUGCUUUUAUCGCAUGGUAGAAGUAUCAAAGCUUUUGCGGUACAGGAUGGACCCGCGUCUGAUUAGCUAGUUGGUAAGGUAACGGCUUCCCAAGGCGACGAUCAGUAGCCGACCUGAGAGGGUGAUCGGCCACAUUGCAACUGAGACACGGUCCAAACUCCUACGGGAGGCAGCAGUGGGGAAUAUUGCACAAUGGGCGAAAGCCUGAUGCAGCAACGCCGCGUGAGCGAUGAAGGCCUUCGGGUCGUAAAGCUCUGUCCUCAAGGAAGAUAAUGACGGUACUUGAGGAGGAAGCCCCGGCUAACUACGUGCCAGCAGCCGCCGUAA